This 474-nucleotide ribosomal RNA is filed under the name uncultured organism. RNAcentral's name for it is "partial 16S ribosomal RNA". It matches the Rfam family "Bacterial small subunit ribosomal RNA", at positions 334 to 799 of the family's 1533-position model. The record is from RNAcentral.
CACUCCUACGGGAGGCAGCAGUGGGGAAUUUUGGACAAUGGGCGAAAGCCUGAUCCAGCAAUGCCGCGUGAGUGAAGAAGGCCUUCGGGUUGUAAAGCUCUUUUGUCAGGGAAGAAACGGUGAGAGCUAAUAUCUCUUGCUAAUGACGGUACCUGAAGAAUAAGCACCGGCUAACUACGUGCCAGCAGCCGCGGUAAUACGUAGGGUGCAAGCGUUAAUCGGAAUUACUGGGCGUAAAGCGUGCGCAGGCGGUUUUGUAAGUCUGAUGUGAAAUCCCCGGGCUCAACCUGGGAAUUGCAUUGGAGACUGCAAGGCUAGAAUCUGGCAGAGGGGGGUAGAAUUCCACGUGUAGCAGUGAAAUGCGUAGAUAUGUGGAGGAACACCGAUGGCGAAGGCAGCCCCCUGGGUCAAGAUUGACGCUCAUGCACGAAAGCGUGGGGAGCAAACAGGAUUAGAUACCCUUGUAGUCCCAUG